Molecule: ribosomal RNA, 1016 nt
Filed under: uncultured fungus
Lineage: Eukaryota; Fungi
Description: eukaryotic LSU rRNA
Rfam family: Eukaryotic large subunit ribosomal RNA (bases 585-1016)
Source: RNAcentral
UCCGUAGGUGAACCUGCGGAAGGAUCAUUAUCGAAUAAACUAGGUAGACGCUGUUGCUGUCCCUCUCGGGGGAAUCUUGUGCACGCAUCUGCCUUUUUUGUUUAUCCACCUGUGCACACACUGUAGGUCUGGGGGAAGUCUUGUAAGGGAGGUAACUCUCUGAAGGGCUUCAUUCAUUCCCAGGUCCUAUGUAUUUUUACAUAUACACUAUAGAAAGUAACAGAACGAAUCAAUGGGCGUUAGCCUAUAAACUAUAUACAACUUUCAGCAACGGAUCUCUUGGCUCUCGCAUCGAUGAAGAACGCAGCGAAAUGCGAUAAGUAAUGUGAAUUGCAGAAUUCAGUGAAUCACCGAAUCUUUGAACGCACAUUGCGCCCCCUGGCAUUCCGGGGGGCAUGCCUGUCCGAGCGUCAUUGCUGCCCAUCAAGCCCGGCUUGUGUGUUGGGUCGUCGUCCCCCCCGGGGGACGGGCCCGAACGGCAGCGGCGGCACCGUGUCCGGUCCUCGAGCGUAUGGGGCUUUGUCACCCGCUCGACUAGGGCCGGCCGGGCGCCAGCCGACGUCUCCAACCAUUUUUCUUCAGGUUGACCUCGGAUCAGGUAGGGAUACCCGCUGAGCUUAAGCAUAUCAAUAAGCGGAGGAAAAGAAACCAACCGGGAUUGCCUCAGUAACGGCGAGUGAAGCGGCAAGAGCUCAAAUUUGAAAUCUGGCCCCUCCGGGGUCCGAGUUGUAAUUUGCAGAGGAUGCUUCGGGUGCGGCCCCUGUCUAAGUGCCCUGGAACGGGCCGUCAGAGAGGGUGAGAAUCCCGUCUUGGGCAGGGUGCCCGUGCCCGUGUGAAGCUCCUUCGACGAGUCGAGUUGUUUGGGAAUGCAGCUCAAAAUGGGUGGUAAAUUUCAUCUAAAGCUAAAUACCGGCCGGAGACCGAUAGCGCACAAGUAGAGUGAUCGAAAGAUGAAAAGCACUUUGAAAAGAGGGUUAAACAGCACGUGAAAUUGUUGAAAGGGAAACGCUUGAAGU